RNAcentral lists this microRNA precursor (98 nucleotides) under Daucus carota subsp. sativus. RNAcentral's name for it is "MIR2275 microRNA precursor family". It matches the Rfam family "MIR2275 microRNA precursor family". The record is from Rfam by way of RNAcentral. Lineage: Eukaryota; Viridiplantae; Streptophyta; Magnoliopsida; Apiales; Apiaceae.
AUGUUGAAUGUGAGAAUAGGAUGAAACUAAACAGAGAGGUCUUGGAUUUUUAUUUCAAGCAUUCUGUUUAGUUUUCUCCUAUAUCUCAUCUUCAACCU